RNAcentral lists this ribosomal RNA (323 nucleotides) under uncultured eukaryote. RNAcentral's name for it is "partial 18S ribosomal RNA". It matches the Rfam family "Eukaryotic small subunit ribosomal RNA", at positions 1470 to 1796 of the family's 1831-position model. The record is from RNAcentral.
CCCUUAGAUGUUCUGGGCCGCACGCGUGCUACACUGAGUGGAUCAGCGGGUCAGGUUGCGCGAAAGCGUUUCCUAAUCUUUAAAUCCGCUCGUGAUGGGGAUUGACGGUUGCAAUUUUCUGUCAUGAACGAGGAAUACCUUGUAAGCGCGGGUCAUCAUCCCGCGCUGAAUACGUCCCUGCCCUUUGUACACACCGCCCGUCGCUCCUACCGAUUGAGUGGUCCGGUGAAGACUCAGGAGAUAUGUACGUGGCUGGUCUCCAGCUGCGUUGCGUGCCGAAUUUGUCUAAACCUUGAUGCUUAGAGGAAGGAGAAGUCGUAACA